AGCCAUGCCGCGUGUGUGAAGAAGGCCUUUUGGUUGUAAAGCACUUUAAGCAGUGAAGAAGACCUAACGGUUAAUACCCGUUAGCGAUGACAUUAGCUGCAGAAUAAGCACCGGCUAACUCUGUGCCAGCAGCCGCGGUAAUACAGAGGGUGCAAGCGUUAAUCGGAAUUACUGGGCGUAAAGCGAGCGUAGGUGGCUUGAUAAGUCAGAUGUGAAAUCCCCGGGCUUAACCUGGGAACUGCAUCUGAUACUGUUAGGCUAGAAUAGGUGAGAGGAAGGUAGAAUUCCAGGUGUAGCGGUGAAAUGCGUAGAGAUCUGGAGGAAUACCGAUGGCGAAGGCAGCCUUCUGGCAUCAUAUUGACACUGAGGUUCGAAAGCGUGGGUAGCAAACAGGAUUAGAUACCCUGGUAGUCCACGCCGUAAACGAUGUCUACUAGUCGUUGGGUCCCUUGAGGACUUAGUGACGCAGCUAACGCAAUAAGUAGACCGCCUGGGGAGUACGGCCGCAAGGUUAAAACUCAAAUGAAUUGACGGGGGCCCGCACAAGCGGUGGAGCAUGUGGUUUAAUUCGAUGCAACGCGAAGAACCUUACCUGGUCUUGACAUAUCUAGAAUCCUGCAGAGAUGCGGGAGUGCCUUCGGGAAUUAGAAUACAGGUGCUGCAUGGCUGUCGUCAGCUCGUGUCGUGAGAUGUUGGGUUAAGUCCCGCAACGAGCGCAACCCUUGUCCUUAGUUACCAGCGGGUUAAGCCGGGAACUCUAAGGAUACUGCCAGUGACAAACUGGAGGAAGGCGGGGACGACGUCAAGUCAUCAUGGCCCUUACGACCAGG
RNAcentral lists this ribosomal RNA (830 nucleotides) under Psychrobacter submarinus. RNAcentral's name for it is "bacterial SSU rRNA". It matches the Rfam family "Bacterial small subunit ribosomal RNA", at positions 390 to 1212 of the family's 1533-position model. The record is from RNAcentral. Lineage: Bacteria; Pseudomonadati; Pseudomonadota; Gammaproteobacteria; Moraxellales; Moraxellaceae.